RNAcentral lists this ribosomal RNA (468 nucleotides) under uncultured bacterium. RNAcentral's name for it is "partial 16S ribosomal RNA". It matches the Rfam family "Bacterial small subunit ribosomal RNA", at positions 28 to 507 of the family's 1533-position model. The record is from RNAcentral.
GACGAACGCUGGCGGCGUGCUUAACACAUGCAAGUCGAACGGAAGGGCCCUGCUUUUGUGGGGUGCUCGAUUGGCGAGCGGGUGAGUAACACGUGAGUAACCUGCCCUUGACUUUGUGAUAACUUCAGGAAACUGGGGCUAAUACCGGAUAGGAUCUCCUGCUGCAUGGGGGGGGUUGGAGAGUUUCGGCGGUUGGGGAUGGACUCGCGGCUUAUCAGCUUGUUGGUGGGGUAGUGGCUUACCAAGGCUUUGACGGGUAGGCGGCCUGAGAGGGUGACCGGCCACAUUGGGACUGCGAUACGGACCAGAAUGCUACGGGAGGCAGUAGUGGGGAAUCUUGCACAACGGGCGGAAGUCUGAUGCAGCAACGCUGCGUGCGGGAUGCCCGCUUUCGGGUUGUAAACAGAUUUCGACUGUGACGAAGAGUGAGUGACGGUAACGGGUAAAGAAGCAACGGCUAACUACGUG